AGCGAACGCUGGCGGCAGGCCUAACACAUGCAAGUCGAACGAACCUUUCGGGGUUAGUGGCGGACGGGUGAGUAACACGUGGGAACGUGCCUUUAGGUUCGGAAUAACUCAGGGAAACUUGUGCUAAUACCGAAUGUGCCCUUCGGGGGAAAGAUUAAUCGCCUUUAGAGCGGCCCGCGUCUGAUUAGCUAGUUGGUUGAGGUAAUGGCUCACCAAGGCGACGAUCAGUAGCUGGUCUGAGAGGAUGAUCAGCCACAUUGGGACUGAGACACGGCCCAAACUCCUACGGGAGGCAGCAGUGGGGAAUCUUGCGCAAUGGGCGAAAGCCUGACGCAGCCAUGCCGCGUGAAUGAUGAAGGUCUUAGGAUUGUAAAAUUCUUUCACCGGGGACGAUAAUGACGGUACCCGGAGAAGAAGCCCCGGCGAACUUCGU
RNAcentral lists this ribosomal RNA (433 nucleotides) under uncultured bacterium. RNAcentral's name for it is "partial 16S ribosomal RNA". It matches the Rfam family "Bacterial small subunit ribosomal RNA", at positions 29 to 506 of the family's 1533-position model. The record is from RNAcentral.